Molecule: ribosomal RNA, 639 nt
Filed under: uncultured Actinomycetes bacterium
Lineage: Bacteria; Bacillati; Actinomycetota; Actinomycetes
Description: bacterial SSU rRNA
Rfam family: Bacterial small subunit ribosomal RNA
Source: RNAcentral
CGCGGCCUAUCAGCUUGUUGGAGAGGUAACGGCUCACCAAGGCAUCGACGGGUAGCUGGUCUGAGAGGAUGAUCAGCCACACUGGGACUGAGACACGGCCCAGACUCCUACGGGAGGCGGCAGUGGGGAAUCUUGCACAAUGGGCGAAAGCCUGAUGCAGCAACGCCGCGUGCGGGAAGAAGGCCCUAGGGUUGUAAACCGCUUUCAGCAGGGAAGAAAAUGACGGUACCUGUAGAAGAAGGUGCGGCCAACUACGUGCCAGCAGCCGCGAUGACACGUAGGCACCAAGCGUUAUCCGGAUUUAUUGGGCGUAAAGAGCUCGUAGGCGGUUCGGUAAGUCGGGUGUGAAAACUUGAGGCUCAACCUCAAGAGGCCACCCGAUACUGCUGUGACUCGAGUGCGGUAGGGGAGCGGGGAAUUCCUGGUGUAGCGGUGAAAUGCGCAGAUAUCAGGAGGAACACCAGUGGCGAAGGCGCCGCUCUGGGCCGUAACUGACGCUGAGGAGCGAAAGCGUGGGUAGCAAACAGGAUUAGAUACCCUGGUAGUCCACGCCGUAAACGUUGGGCACUAGGUGUGGGUCUCAACCAACGAGAUCCGCGCCGUCGCUAACGCAUUAAGUGCCCCGCCUGGGGAGUACGG